Molecule: ribosomal RNA, 497 nt
Filed under: uncultured bacterium
Lineage: Bacteria
Description: partial 16S ribosomal RNA
Rfam family: Bacterial small subunit ribosomal RNA
Source: RNAcentral
GAUGAACGCUGGCGGCGUGCCUAAUACAUGCAAGUCGAGCGAACAGACGAGGAGCUUGCUCCUCUGACGUUAGCGGCGGACGGGUGAGUAACACGUGUAUAACCUACCUAUAAUACUGGUAUAACUUCGGGAAACCGGAGCUAAUACCGGAUAAUAUAUUGAACCGCAUUGUUCAAUAGUGAAAGACGGUUUUGCUGGCAGUUCUAGAUGGAUCCGCGCCGCAUGAGCUAGUUGGGAAGUUAACGGCUUACCAAGGCGUCGAUGCGUAGCCGACCGGAGAGGGUGAUAGGCCGCACUAGAACUGAGACACGGACCAGGGUACUACGGGAGGCAGCAGAAGGGAACCGUCCGCAAUGGGCGAAAGCAUGACGGAGCAACGCGGAGCGAGUGAUGACGAUCUUCGGAUCGUAAAACUCUGUUAUUAGUGAUGAACCACUGUGUAAGUAAAUAUGCACGUCUUGACGGUACCUAAUCAGAAAGCCACGGCUAACUACGUG